This 253-nucleotide ribosomal RNA is filed under the name uncultured bacterium. Its description in RNAcentral is "partial 16S ribosomal RNA". It matches the Rfam family "Bacterial small subunit ribosomal RNA", at positions 524 to 776 of the family's 1533-position model. The record is from RNAcentral.
UAUGAAUGGGGCAAGCGUUGUUCGGAAUCACUGGGCUUAAGGCGUGCGUAGGCGGAUCUGCAAGUCAGAAGUGAAAUCCCUGGGCUUAACCCGGGAACUGCUUUUGAAACUGCAAAUCUAGAGACCUGGAGAGGUGAGGGGAAUUCCGAGUGUAGAGGUGAAAUUCGCAGAUAUUCGGAGGAACACCAGUGGCGUAGGCGCCUCACUGGACAGGUACUGACGCUGAGGUACGAAAGCGUGGGGAGCAAACAGG